RNAcentral lists this transfer RNA (88 nucleotides) under Pseudomonadota bacterium. RNAcentral's name for it is "tRNA-Ser". It matches the Rfam family "tRNA". From Rfam's summary of the family: Transfer RNA (tRNA) molecules are approximately 80 nucleotides in length. Lineage: Bacteria; Pseudomonadati; Pseudomonadota. RNAcentral also lists the same sequence under 1 other name. The record is from RNAcentral.
GGAGAGAUGUCCGAGUGGUUUAAGGAGCGCGCCUGGAAAGUGCGUAAACCCCAAAAGGGUUUCGAGGGUUCGAAUCCCUCUCUCUCCG